CCUACGGGUGGCAGCAGUGAGGAAUAUUGAUCAAUGGACGCAAGUCUGAACCAGCCAUUCCUCGUGCAGGAAGACGGCUCUAUGAGUUGUAAACUGCUUUUGUACGAGGGUAAACGCAGAUACGCGUAUCUGUCUGAAAGUCUCGUACGAAUAAGGCUCGGCUCACUCCGUGCCAGCAGCCGCGGUAAUACGGAGGAUUCAAGCGUUAUCCGGAUUUAUUGGGUUUAAAGGGUGCGUAGGCGGUCGUAUAAGUUAGAGGUGAAAUCCCGAGGCUCAACUUCGGAAUUGCCUCGGAUACUGUUCGGCGAGAGAGUAGUUGCGGUAGGCGGAAUGUAUGGUGUAGCGGUGAAAUGCUUAGAGAUCAUACAGAACACCGAUUGCGAAGGCAGCUUACCAAGCUACUUCUGACGUUGAGGCACGAAAGCGUGGGGAGCAAACAGGAUUAGAUACCCCGGUAGUC
Molecule: ribosomal RNA, 460 nt
Filed under: uncultured bacterium
Lineage: Bacteria
Description: partial 16S ribosomal RNA
Rfam family: Bacterial small subunit ribosomal RNA
Source: RNAcentral